UUAGUGGCGGACGGGUGAGUAACGCGUGAGUAACCUGCCUUUGAGAGGGGAAUAACUUCCCGAAAGGGAUGCUAAUACCGCAUAACGCAUAGAAGUCGCAUGGCUUUUAUGCCAAAGAUUUAUCGCUCAAAGAUGGACUCGCGUCCGAUUAGCCAGUUGGCGGGGUAACGGCCCACCAAAGCGACGAUCGGUAGCCGGACUGAGAGGUUGAACGGCCACAUUGGGACUGAGACACGGCCCAGACUCCUACGGGAGGCAGCAGUGGGGGAUAUUGCGCAAUGGGGGGAACCCUGACGCAGCAACGCCGCGUGAAGGAUGAAGGUUUUCGGAUUGUAAACUUCUUUUAUUUAGGACGAACAAUGACGGUACUAAAUGAAUAAGCUCCGGCUAACUACGUGCCAGCAGCCGCGGUAAUACGUAGGGAGCAAGCGUUAUCCGGAUUUACUGGGUGUAAAGGGUGCGUAGGCGGCUUGAUAAGUCAGAUGUGAAAUGUAUGGGCUCAACCCAUGCACUGCAUUUGAAACUAUUGAGCUUGAGUGAAGUAGAGGUAGGCGGAAUUCCCUGUGUAGCGGUGAAAUGCGUAGAGAUAGGGAGGAACACCAGUGGCGAAGGCGGCCUACUGGGCUUUAACUGACGCUGAGGCACGAAAGCGUGGGUAGCAAACAGGAUUAGAUACCCUGGUAGUCCACGCUGUAAACGAUGAUUACUAGGUGUGGGGGGUCUGACCCCUUCCGUGCCGGAGUUAACACAAUAAGUAAUCCACCUGGGGAGUACGACCGCAAGGUUGAAACUCAAAGGAAUUGACGGGGG
Molecule: ribosomal RNA, 810 nt
Filed under: uncultured bacterium
Lineage: Bacteria
Description: bacterial SSU rRNA
Rfam family: Bacterial small subunit ribosomal RNA
Source: RNAcentral